GGGCGAGUGGCGGAAUGGUAUACGCGGUGGACUUAAAAUCCGCUGGUUUUACGACCUUGAGGGUUCGAGUCCCUCCUUGCCCACCA
Molecule: transfer RNA, 86 nt
Filed under: Candidatus Saccharimonadota bacterium
Lineage: Bacteria; Candidatus Saccharimonadota
Description: tRNA-Leu
Rfam family: tRNA
About the family: Transfer RNA (tRNA) molecules are approximately 80 nucleotides in length. Their secondary structure includes four short double-helical elements and three loops (D, anti-codon, and T loops).
Source: RNAcentral